RNAcentral lists this ribosomal RNA (440 nucleotides) under uncultured bacterium. RNAcentral's name for it is "partial 16S ribosomal RNA". It matches the Rfam family "Bacterial small subunit ribosomal RNA", at positions 338 to 795 of the family's 1533-position model. The record is from RNAcentral.
CCUACGGGAGGCAGCAGUGGGGAAUAUUGCACAAUGGGGGAAACCCUGAUGCAGCGACGCCGCGUGAGUGAAGAAGUAUCUCGGUACGUAAAGAUCUAUCAGCAGGGAAGAAAAUGACGGUAACUGACUAAGAAGCCCAGGCUAACUACGUGCCAGCAGCCGCGGUCAUACGUAGGGGGCAAGGGUGAUACGGUUGUACUGGGGGUAAAGGGAGCGUAGACGGCAGCACACGUCUGGAGUGAAACCCCGGGGCUUAACCCCGGAACUGACUUUGAAACUGGGCGGCUGGAGGGCAGGAGGGGUAAGCGGAAUUCCUAGUGUAGCGGUGAAAUGCGUAGAUAUUAGGAGGAACAGCGGUGGCGAAGGCGACUUACUGGACUGUAACUGACGUUGAGGCUCGAAAGCGUGGGGAGCAAACAGGAUUAGAUACCCUUGUAGUC